RNAcentral lists this small RNA (81 nucleotides) under Pedobacter psychrophilus. RNAcentral's name for it is "Pedobacter sp. CCM 8644 Flavo-1 RNA". It matches the Rfam family "Flavo-1 RNA". The record is from Rfam by way of RNAcentral. Lineage: Bacteria; Pseudomonadati; Bacteroidota; Sphingobacteriia; Sphingobacteriales; Sphingobacteriaceae.
GUUUUGCGUUAGGGAUUGAAACGGCAGCUUUUUUGUCCGCCAGCUGGCGGACAAAAACUAAAGUGUAAAGCCCGCCCGAAC